UAACUGGCAGAAGUGAAAAUACUAUAUAGCCUGUUCGAGUGUUUCAGAGAUUAAAACGAAAUUAAAUUUUCCACAACUCUGUUAGGGGAGCAAGUUUUAUAAGCAAGUCAUUGAUUUUUAAUUUGGCUACUGUUGAUUAUGUUAGAAUGUGGUGAGCUCACUGUAAAUAAGCAGUAAAGGGGAAAGCGCCCAAUUAAAAUUAAAAAUACCAUCUUCCCCAGAGGUGACACAGUAUGUUGGUAGCAGGUUCUUCAUUAGACGUGGGUGUGUGGCGGGCACAUCUGUAAUUUGGCUCUGUCGAUAUUUGUCCUCUAGACCGGGUGCGCAACGGACAUCUUGAGCCUUUAGAGGGCGCACUUGAGGCCAAGAGGCUGAAGAGGCUGGAGCAGCCAAGGCUGGGGAGCUGAGCUAUGCAGAGAGCACAGCGCAAGAGAAACGGGGAACCCUAUCUAGGUUCACGCUGUAUCAGGGGGAACUAAAAAUAUAAAUGCCUUCUAUGGGUCAGGAACUGUGCUUAACGGCUUCUCCACAACGCUUCUGUCCAGUUGAUAUUAAUGCUCCAUUUUACAGAUGAAGAAAUUGAGGCUAUUUGUAGAAUGCGGGCAAUGCAGCUUAGAGAGGUUAAACUACCCGGUGCUGGAGGCCAAAUUUGAACUCGGGCCUGAGGGAUUCUCAUUCUCUCUCUCUCUCUCUCUCUCUCUCACACACACACACGCACGCACGCACGCACGCACGCGCGCGCGCGCCAGGCAAGGCGAAAAGGAAUCUUUCUAAUGCCCAAUAAUAACCCUUACUCAUCCUUGCUAAUGAGAGCCUGGAUCAACUUUUCCGCAGAAAGAAAACGGCUUAAUUAAUUGGAGCCACAUCCAAAAGAUGACCCAUGUGGGAGGAGCUUUAAGAAGACGUUUUCUCCACUUUUGACUCCGUAGCUCCGCCCCUCUCAGCUGCUUCCUGGCCUCUGCACAGCAAUGGUGCAGGCCCAUCACUCACAUUGUACACAUCCAGUGCUCCUCUGAUUUGCUUCUCAAGUGUGGUGUCUGUUCGGGAAUGGUUACCUUGCGGACCCUCAGAGGUGUCGUUGUUUGCCUUCCUGCAUUGUCAGUAGAGACAGCCACCCGACUUCCCCCAGGUCUGACGUGCUUCGCUGUCUUGUAU
Molecule: long non-coding RNA, 1155 nt
Organism: Physeter macrocephalus (sperm whale)
Lineage: Eukaryota; Metazoa; Chordata; Mammalia; Artiodactyla; Physeteridae
Exons: 4
Source: RefSeq, a predicted model, not a curated record